UUUUUUUUUCCUUUCUCCCUCUGUGUUCCCAGGGCAGGGUUGGCUUUCUAGGUUUGAUAAAGCAUUUCCUUCCAUUGUCAUUCUAUACGGCCUCUGGGCCCGUCUCUCAGUCCCUCCCCUUUCGCCGUCCCCUCGCUUUCUCUCUCUCUUCCUGAACUUUAGUGAAUCUUGAGAUAUAAAGAAAACAGCUGCCUCCCUUUAAGCACAUCUUGAACAAUGAGACCUCAUCUCCAAGGGCUUUAAUUCCUCUGGAUGCAAGGACAAAGCCAGGGUGAGUAGCCUGUUAGUAACUCUGCGGUCACCACAUCCACAAACGCAGCCGUUCCCGGCGGGUGCUCGUGUCCAGCCGGGUCCUGUUGCUGCUCUCAGGCUGUGGAGGUUUUGUGUAGCACAAGAAUAGAUGCUGUAAGCGUUAAAAAUCUCCCCAUCGGAUUCUGUCCCCGUUGGAGAAGGUUUUGCCACCUGGAUUUGGGUCACCCGCUGGCUCCCUUCCUUGUGAGACUGGGCAAAACCCGGCUCUCUGCAAGGUGGGAGGAAUCCUGAGCUCAAAGGCAAAGAAAAACAAAUAUGAUGCAAUCAGGCGUGAUCUGAGCUGGGCUGCGGGAGGGGGAUCUGUCUGCAGCUCUGGGGCUCUGCAGGCCAGGGGAGACACUAACAGAGGACCUUGGAAUGGCACCGGGUGGGAGACACUCUCAUAACCCAGGGGUGCGUGGCUUCGCUGUGCUGUGCGGACGCUGUGGACCUUCCUGUGGUGUCUGUGGUGUUUCUGCUCUCUUGCCUUCAAUAAGAAUUUUCCAGUCUGGUUUAAAUGGUGAAGUGAGAGAUGUGCUGGAGCACUGGGAAUUUCUGCUCAGAGCAGGGGAUCGGUGGUUUGCAGCCACUGUGCCCAUGCUGGGGACUGCAGGAAAUGGGCAGAGGUGCAGUGUGUGUUGUUGUAAAGUGUUAUCUGGAGUCUGGUUUUGCCCAAGUGAUCUGUUUAGAUUGUUUCAUGCACAAAAAAGCAGGAGGCAAAGUACAGGAGAUCUCUGCAGCAGUGUGGUGUCUGUUAAUAAGGGAAUUUGGGAUGAGUGAUGAAGCUGCUGCCUAACGUGCACUUUCCAAUAUGGGUCUCCAGUCUCACCCUCCCAGCAA
This 1131-nucleotide long non-coding RNA is filed under the name Strigops habroptila (Kakapo). RNAcentral describes it as "lncRNA (ENSSHBG00005010271.1)". Lineage: Eukaryota; Metazoa; Chordata; Aves; Psittaciformes; Psittacidae. The record is from RNAcentral.